GGGGAUGAGGCUCAGGGAGAGAGCGCUUGCCUGGCAGGCACGAGGCCCUGGGUUCCCGCCCCAACGCCCCCU
Ictidomys tridecemlineatus (thirteen-lined ground squirrel) is the source of this 72-nucleotide non-coding RNA. The record is from Rfam. NCBI's taxonomy places the organism in Eukaryota, Metazoa, Chordata, Mammalia, Rodentia, Sciuridae.